UGACAGUGACCCAGACAGACAUGAGGGAACCCAGGAAGUCACAGAACUGCAGCACGUCAUAGUCCAUGAUGCAGAACACCACGAUGCCUGGCUGGUCACAGGCAUGAUAAAACUGGGGCCACAGAGGGAACGGGUGGAGAAGAACAUCGUGAAGAUGUAGACAGCAGCUUCCAGGAGGUAGUGACUGCGCACAGCGAUGGCCACGGGAGGCACAAACAUGACAUUGCUGAGGCAGAGCAGCAGAGUGGAGAGAAGCUGGAAACCAUAGGUGAAUGCCUCGGCAUUGUCAGUGCAGCCCCAGCCAUUCCAUCCUGCAAGAGAGAGGAAGCUCCAUCCAGUACCCAUUGGAUUGCUGGGACAGGAGGACUGACAGAGUGCCUACAAAAGAUCUUACCAGCUUUGCACUCGCAGGCUGCAUACAAAUAAUUGUUGGUACGCAGCAGCUUGCACUGCCCAUAGAUGCCACAGUCGUUGAUGCAGGGUGAGAGGUAGACGCGCAGGUAGACCUCAGCUGUCACAUUGGUGCAAGGCUCAAACCUACCCCAUGGGGGAACAAGGUCAAACACCCGAAUGUGUAUGCACUGAGCAUGAGCACAGCCCCCAGAUGCACACAAGCCAACAGCUGCUUCCCAACUCAGAGCUUCAGAGCAGAGCUGCAGGAGCCCACCAACAGGAUUGGUGCAGUGACACCCAGCUCUGCCAGGACAGUGAGGCUGGGAUACACUGGGAUGCACUGGGAUGCAGUGACACAUAGUGGGCAUUCUGGGAUCUUACCCAUGCUCUGUGGCACAGAGGGAGCGCAGGCUCAGGUACCAGCUGCCCGUCUGGGGGUAGGGGAUGCGCAGGCGGCUCAGGCUGGCCGUGGCAUUGACAGAGAGCAGGAAGCCUGCCAGGGACUCU
RNAcentral lists this long non-coding RNA (900 nucleotides) under Gallus gallus (chicken). RNAcentral describes it as "long non-coding RNA NONGGAT011664". Lineage: Eukaryota; Metazoa; Chordata; Aves; Galliformes; Phasianidae. The record is from RNAcentral.